GAUGAACGCUGGCGGCGUGCCUAAUACAUGCAAGUCGAGCGAACAGAUAAGGAGCUUGCUCCUUUGACGUUAGCGGCGGACGGGUGAGUAACACGUGGGUAACCUACCUAUAAGACUGGAAUAACUCCGGGAAACCGGGGCUAAUGCCGGAUAACAUGUUGAACCGCAUGGUUCUACAGUGAAAGGCGGCUUUGCUGUCACUUAUAGAUGGACCCGCGCCGUAUUAGCUAGUUGGUGAGGUAACGGCUCACCAAGGCAACGAUGCGUAGCCGACCUGAGAGGGGGAUCGGCCACACUGGAACUGAGACACGGUCCAGACUCCUACGGGAGGCAGCAGUAGGGAAUCUUCCGCAAUGGGCGAAAGCCUGACGGAGCAACGCCGCGUGAGUGAUGAAGGUCUUCGGAUCGUAAAACUCUGUUAUUAGGGAAGAACAAAUGCGUAAGUAACUGUGCGCGUCUUGACGGUACCUAAUCAGAAAGCCACGGCUAACUACGUG
Molecule: ribosomal RNA, 497 nt
Filed under: uncultured bacterium
Lineage: Bacteria
Description: partial 16S ribosomal RNA
Rfam family: Bacterial small subunit ribosomal RNA
Source: RNAcentral